UUUUUAAAUCUUUACAUCUCUUUUUCAGAAUAAAAGACAAGAACUGAAAAGAAAGGGAAACAGACGUGCAUUUUUUCUCUCAGAAUCAGAACAAGAAAACAUCAAUCGCAUAAUAGAAAAAAGACAACAAAGAAAAAGGCUGAAACAAUCGACAACAGAUACAAUAGACGCCAAGAGGCAUCACCAAGAUUCGGAAAAUAACCCGCCAUCACAAAGGAGCAGUGCGGAAAACAAUUUGGCUGAAAAAGAAAAAUAUGAAAAUAAAGAUGUCAUCCGAUUAGAUGAAAGUGAUUUCUUUAGACAGUUUAUAAUUCAAAAUUCCCCACCAGAUACAUUUCAUUCUAGAGAGGGAUUUCCAACGUCAAAGAACUCCACCUACGACUUUGUUUUACAGGACGUGGCAAAAGUCAGUGACAUAGCUGCUAAAAACCUGAAAAAAAUUACAAAUCUAGAAGAAAAAAUGUCAUUGCUUUCAUCUCAAGUGGAUAAACUGAAGUAUGCUUUGACAAUUGCAAUUACAUCGGAACAGGAGAAAAACAAGAAGAUAAAAAAUCCCCCCGUUUUAUUUAGUAUAUGUGUAUUUCUGAUUGCAUUAGGGAUAAUUGUUUUAAUGAUAAUCUGGAUCUCUCGAUAAGAAAAAAAGAUGUAUUUGUGAUAUUUUUAAAAAUAGCAGAACAUUGGAUUUGGUUAACGUUGUAGAUAUUCUCUAUAAGAUAUAUGCACACAAUGUUAAUGUGAUUAAAAGCAGUUUUACCUAACAAAAACUUUAGAAUUAGUUAUUCCUUCGUCAAACCAUCAGGCAUUUACUGGUGAAAAUCAGUGGUCUUUCGAAUGUGAUUAAAGUUUGAUAUUACAAUUCACGAUGUUUAAAGCCAUAUAAGCUGUAAUUUUUACGUUUGAAGUUAUGUUGAAAAAUUUCAAUUUACUAUUUUUA
Long non-coding RNA from Saccostrea echinata, 934 nucleotides. RefSeq lists it as uncharacterized. The transcript is spliced from 5 exons. The record is from RefSeq and is a predicted model, not a curated record. NCBI's taxonomy places the organism in Eukaryota, Metazoa, Mollusca, Bivalvia, Ostreida, Ostreidae.